AGGGAUAUAGCUCAGUGGCACAGCACCUGCCUGGAAAGCACAUAGUCCUGAGUUUGAUUCUCUAUACUCGUA
This 72-nucleotide transfer RNA is filed under the name Cavia porcellus (domestic guinea pig). It matches the Rfam family "tRNA". From Rfam's summary of the family: Transfer RNA (tRNA) molecules are approximately 80 nucleotides in length. Their secondary structure includes four short double-helical elements and three loops (D, anti-codon, and T loops). The record is from Rfam by way of RNAcentral. Lineage: Eukaryota; Metazoa; Chordata; Mammalia; Rodentia; Caviidae.